AGCGUUAUCCUGGAAUUAUUGGGGCGUAAAGCGUUUGUAGGCGGGCGAGUGUGUUUAAUGUUAAAUCUUAAAGCUCAACUUUGAAAUUGCGUUAAAAACUGCUUGUCUUGAGUAUGGUAGGGGUAAAGGGAAUUCCCAGUGUAGCGGUGAAAUGCGUAGAUAUUGGGAAGAACACUAAACAGCGAAGGCACUUUACUAGGCUAAUACUGACGCUGAGAAACGAAAGGUAAGGUAGCGAAACGGAUUAGAUACCCGUGUAGUCUUACCCGUAAACUAUGGACACUAAACGGUAAAUUUUUAAUUUACUGUUAAAGCUAACGCGUUAAGUGUCCCGCCUGGGGAGUAUGCUUGCAAAAGUGAAACUCAAAGGAAUUGACGGGGGCCCGCACAAGCGGUGGAGCAUGUGGUUUAAUUCGACGGUACACGAAGAACCUUACCAGGAUUUGACAUGCUAGAUAGUUGCUUGAAAGAGUAACGUGCCGUAAGGAAUCUAGACACAGGUGGUGCAUGGCUGUCGUCAGUUCGUGUUGUGAAAUGUUGGGUUAAGUCCCGCAACGAACGCAACCCUUGUCUUUAGUUAUUUUCUAAAGAGACUGCCUGUAAUAAACAGGAGGAAGGUAAGGAUGAGGUCAAGUCAUCAUGCCCCUUAUGUCCUGGGCUACACACGUGCUACAAUGGGAAAGACAAUGAGCUGCAAAUCUGUAAAUUUAAGCAAAUCUCUUAAACUUUCUCGUAGUUCGGAUUGUGGGCUGCAACUCGCCCACAUGAAGUUGGAAUCGCUAGUAAUCGCCAGUCAGCUAUAUGGCGGUGAAUCCGUUCCCGGGCCU
RNAcentral lists this ribosomal RNA (827 nucleotides) under uncultured bacterium. RNAcentral's name for it is "bacterial SSU rRNA". It matches the Rfam family "Bacterial small subunit ribosomal RNA", at positions 537 to 1381 of the family's 1533-position model. The record is from RNAcentral.